UGGGGAAUAUUGGACAAUGGGCGAAAGCCUGAUCCAGCCAUGCCGCGUGUGUGAAGAAGGUCUUCGGAUUGUAAAGCACUUUAAGUUGGGAGGAAGGGCAUUAACCUAAUACGUUAGUGUUUUGACGUUACCGACAGAAUAAGCACCGGCUAACUCUGUGCCAGCAGCCGCGGUAAUACAGAGGGUGCAAGCGUUAAUCGGAAUUACUGGGCGUAAAGCGCGCGUAGGUGGUUUGUUAAGUUGGAUGUGAAAUCCCCGGGCUCAACCUGGGAACUGCAUUCAAAACUGACUGACUAGAGUAUGGUAGAGGGUGGUGGAAUUUCCUGUGUAGCGGUGAAAUGCGCAGAUAUAGGAAGGAAC
Molecule: ribosomal RNA, 360 nt
Filed under: uncultured bacterium
Lineage: Bacteria
Description: partial 16S ribosomal RNA
Rfam family: Bacterial small subunit ribosomal RNA
Source: RNAcentral